This 799-nucleotide long non-coding RNA is filed under the name Zalophus californianus (California sea lion). RNAcentral describes it as "lncRNA (ENSZCAG00015024097.1)". Lineage: Eukaryota; Metazoa; Chordata; Mammalia; Carnivora; Otariidae. The record is from RNAcentral.
CAGCCUGGGAGGCCCCAGACUUGCUGCUCUGGGGGCGGGCAGCUCAGCCUUGCCCCGCCGGGGACGCUGAUUCAUGGAGGUAUACUUCACAUCCAAUUCAUAGAACUUUACCAGCUGCAAAGAAAUGAAAAGAAAAGAAAGUGCUCAGCAAGAACGUUUCCUAUUAGCUGUUCCAAAUAGAUAUGCAAGGUCUCCAGGAUAACAGCUGGUAUCUUGAGAAAUUGAAUUUUCCAGUGCCAGUUUCCUGCCAAAAUGGAGCUGUAGCAUCUUUUUGAGUCCAGUGACAAUAUCAACAGAUUCCUUCCAGAACAUUCCAGUUUGCAGUGUCAUCAAGCAGCAGCACCCUGGUGCCUUUCUCACUGUUACCAACUGUCCUGCUCAUGAUGAAGAGUCACCUGGGGGAAAACAAUGGAAGCCUUCACACAGAAUCUACUCAAUAAAUACGGUCUGAAAGUUGAGAUGCAAUUAACAUGUUAAUGUCCUCCGUGAUGCAAUCAGUCUUAUCAAUUAUAGCCACCGCAGCCCUGAGCACCUUGUGAAGAAUUGCCAAUAAAAAUACUAAAAUAAACUUUGCACAAGAUGGGAGUAUCAUGACAUCUGUUUUCAAAAUUACUUGGCUGUAAUUGUUGAAUCUCAUUAUAGUCGGUAAAAAUUGUGUUCUUUCACCUGGGAUAAGAGCAUGUGCUUUUAAAUAGCAUCACUUCAGAAAUGAAGAGUAGCAAAUCCAUGCUAAUUACACUGUUGUGUCGUGCCUGCCAUAAAGAGAGGAUGCGCGCCAAUGAUUUGUAUCAGUAAGGAC